RNAcentral lists this small nuclear RNA (307 nucleotides) under Macaca mulatta (Rhesus monkey). RNAcentral's name for it is "7SK RNA". It matches the Rfam family "7SK RNA". From Rfam's summary of the family: 7SK was discovered as an abundant small nuclear RNA in the mid-70s but a possible function has only recently been suggested. Two independent studies have found that 7SK RNA binds the CDK9/cyclin T complex (known as elongation factor P-TEFb). Lineage: Eukaryota; Metazoa; Chordata; Mammalia; Primates; Cercopithecidae. The record is from Rfam by way of RNAcentral.
AGAUAUGAGGGCGAUCUGACUGUGACAUCUGUCACUCUAUUGAUCACCAGGGUUGAUUCGGCUGAUCUAGCUAGCUAGGCAGGAGUCCCCUUCCUCCCUCACCACUCCAUGUGCUUCCCUCUUGAAGCUGUGCACUCGGUGAAAGGAUGCCAUCUUCAGUCAAGGGUAUACAAGUAGCUGCACUCCCCUGCUAGAACCUCCAAACAAGCUCUCAAGGUCCAUUUGUAAAAGAACAUAGGGUAGUCAAGCUUCCAAGACUCCAGACACAUCUGAAUGAGUUGCUGCAUGUGGCAGUCUGCCUUUCUUU